GCCGAGGUGGUGAAAUUGGUAGACACGCUAGUCUUAGGAACUAGUGCCUAUGGCGUGCGAGUUCGAGUCUCGCCCUCGGCACCA
RNAcentral lists this transfer RNA (84 nucleotides) under Pyrinomonadaceae bacterium. Its description in RNAcentral is "tRNA-Leu". It matches the Rfam family "tRNA". Rfam says of the family: Transfer RNA (tRNA) molecules are approximately 80 nucleotides in length. Their secondary structure includes four short double-helical elements and three loops (D, anti-codon, and T loops). Further hydrogen bonds mediate the characteristic L-shaped molecular structure. tRNAs have two regions of fundamental functional importance: the anti-codon, which is responsible for specific mRNA codon recognition, and the 3' end, to which the tRNAs corresponding amino acid is attached (by aminoacyl-tRNA synthetases). tRNAs cope with the degeneracy of the genetic code in two manners: having more than one tRNA (with a specific anti-codon) for a particular amino acid; and 'wobble' base-pairing, i.e. permitting non-standard base-pairing at the 3rd anti-codon position. The record is from RNAcentral. Lineage: Bacteria; Pseudomonadati; Acidobacteriota; Blastocatellia; Blastocatellales; Pyrinomonadaceae.